This 71-nucleotide transfer RNA is filed under the name Fusarium pseudograminearum. Its description in RNAcentral is "tRNA-OTHER". It matches the Rfam family "tRNA". From Rfam's summary of the family: Transfer RNA (tRNA) molecules are approximately 80 nucleotides in length. Their secondary structure includes four short double-helical elements and three loops (D, anti-codon, and T loops). The record is from RNAcentral. Lineage: Eukaryota; Fungi; Ascomycota; Sordariomycetes; Hypocreales; Nectriaceae.
AAGAGUGUAGUUUAAUUGGCAAAAUAGGAAGCUUCAACCUCAAAUUCUUGGUUCAAGUCCAAGUACUCUUG